GACGAACGCUGGCAGCGUGCUUAACACAUGCAAGUCGAACGAGAACGGGUUAUAGCUUGCUAUAGUUGUCAGCUAAGUGGCGCACGGGUGAGUAAUGUAUAGGUAAUAUGCCUCUUACUAAGGGAUAACAAAUGGAAACGUUUGCUAAUACCUUAUACUCCUUAUUAACAGAAGUUAAUAAGGGAAAGAUUUAUUGGUAAGAGAUUAGCCUGUAUUGUAUCAGUUAGUUGGUGGGGUAAUGGCUUACCAAGACUAUGUCACAUAACUGGUUUGAGAGGAUGAUCAGUCACACUGGAACUGAGACACGGUCCAGACUCCUACGGGAGGCAGCAGUGGGGAAUAUUGCACAAUGGACGAAAGUCUGAUGCAGCAACGCCGCGUGGAGGAUGACACAUUUCGGUGCGUAAACUCCUUUUAUAUAAGAAGAUAAUGACGGUAUUAUAUGAAUAAGCACCGGCUAACUCCGUGCCAGCCGCCGCGGUAA
Molecule: ribosomal RNA, 484 nt
Filed under: uncultured bacterium
Lineage: Bacteria
Description: partial 16S ribosomal RNA
Rfam family: Bacterial small subunit ribosomal RNA
Source: RNAcentral